GACGAACGCUGGCGGCGUGCUUAACACAUGCAAGUCGAACGGUAAGGCCCUUCGGGUACGACGAGUGGCGAACGGGUGAGUAACACGUGGUGAUCUGCCCUGCACUUCGGGAUAAGCUUGGGAAACUGGGUCUAAUACCGGAUAGGACCACGGUCUGCAUGGAUUGUGGUGGAAAGCUUUUUGCGGUGUGGGAUGGGCCCGCGGCCUAUCAGCUUGUUGGUGGGGUGAUGGCCUACCAAGGCGACGACGGGUAGCCGGCCUGAGAGGGUGUCCGGCCACACUGGGACUGAGAUACGGGCCCAGACUCCUACGGGAGGCAGCAGUGGGGAAUAUUGCACAAUGGGCGCAAGCCUGAUGCAGCGACGCCGCGU
RNAcentral lists this ribosomal RNA (371 nucleotides) under uncultured bacterium. RNAcentral describes it as "bacterial SSU rRNA". It matches the Rfam family "Bacterial small subunit ribosomal RNA", at positions 28 to 402 of the family's 1533-position model. The record is from RNAcentral.